AUAAUAUGCAUAGUUAUUAUUGGGGGGAAAAGAUGUCUUAACUGUCUCUGUGGUGUUUUUUUUCCUUACAGGAUAGCUCAUCAGUCAUCCAGUUUGUGACCCGAGCCAAAGUGAAAGUGGAUGCUACUCUCAGGGUGGUGGAAAUAGCCAACGGGAACCCAGAAGAGGUCAUGGUGGUCUUUGAAGCGCUGCACAAUUUGGAGCCUCGUGGUUAUGUUGUGGGCUGGAUUAUUGCCAUCAGCUUGCUGGUGGGCAUCCUCAUCUUUUUGUUACUGGCCGUGCUCUUGUGGAAGAUGGGCUUCUUUCGCAGAAGGUACAAAGAAAUUAUUGAAGCUGAGAAAAACCGGAAAGAGAAUGAAGACAGUUGGGACUGGGUCCAGAAAAGCCAGUGAGGCACCAUGCAACCCACCACCGGUCACGUGCCGCCAUGCCUGCUCACCUCUUGUCCCUGUUCUUUGUAUCUUCCAUAUGUGGAAGAAGGAAUCUUCUCCAGAUUUUUCGGAGGCCCGUCGAUGCAGUCUUGUUCCUCGUUCUACCAAUCAAGGGAGCAGAUCCCGAGGCCACCCCUGCAGCGCUGGCACGUGACCUGAGCAGCGCACCGAGGCUGGAACGGGUGAAUCAUGAACUCCAGAGAGCAAGCUGUGUGCUGAGCAAUAUUUAUGAGUCCAACGUAUGUGGUAAACCCUCAGGGGAAGACUUGCCUAGAAGUAUUUUUUAUAAAUACAAGCCUUUUAUACUGAUUAUGUCUUUAUAUUUGUAUCAAUGUUUUAUUAUUUCUAUUAAAUAGCUAUAUAGUUCACUCAAGCACUGAUUUCUGGCUGAAACCUGGGAGAUACAUAUAUAUGUAUGUGUGUGUGUGUGUAUAUAAAUAUAUUUUAAAAACCUAUUGUAUGUUUGAACUUAUUACCCAACAGACUUGCCGCUGAAAUGAGCUAAAGGAAAUUGUUAUUGCCUCUCAUAGAAAAACAAUAGGCCUGGCAUUGCCACGUACAGGCGGCAUAGGGUGGUGCCACAUACGGGAUGCUGGAUCAGCUGCGUGUGAUGGUGGCACUUGGCAGCCUCUACGUUUCUCUCAAUGUAAGUUGGGUGUGAAUGGAAGCUUGAGGGCUUUUCGCCAAUGCUCUUCUUUCAAAGAGACCCAUCACGUCCAGAAGGGGGAGGAGCAAAACCUGGCCACUGGGGCCCCAACCUGUCUUGCCUUCAUUUGGUGGAUUAGGAGCAUGGUAGAGAGAGGCCUCAUGCCUUCCACCAGGCUGAUGCCGGCCGAAAUCCUUGCCUUGGGUCUCAUCUGUGUCACUGAGACGCCACACCCAAACCUUCGGGGUCGGACAGCUCCGUCCAUCUCCAGGGCCAUCUGAGACGCCUCAAGCUGGGGGUGGGGCACUGGCUGCCAUCCCCAUUCACAAACGGGGACCUUGCCUUCUUCCUCUUCUUGAGCUCAUUACGGCUUCAUGCCCAAGCUGCCCAGGAAGCCAGCCCUGGCCGGCACCACGAGAGGCGUAAGAGAUGCCACAGAUACCAGGUAGAUUGCUCAGUGGAGUGCUUUGCCCUCGUUAUCGAGGCUUCUCCUUUGGAAGGGUUUGACAUCAGAAGCAUUCUGCUGCUGUAUCUGAAUCCCAGAGCUGUUUUCUAUGAGAAGGCUUUGUCUCAGCUGUAAAGCUGCUGGAAUCUCCCCAUCAGAGCCAUCUUUUUCAAGGCACACCGUGGGCUCGGUGUGAGCAGAUCCAGAUAGACCUGUGCGAGGAGUUGUGGCAGACUUGGUGUUCCCCCAGCCCUAGAAUGGAAAGAGAGCUCCUCGUGCCCAGCUGCGUGCCGGCAGUGUCUGAUAUAAGUUGAGCAGUAACCUCCCAGAGGCCCUUCCAGAUCGAAGCCUUAUGCCUGGAGUGAGUUAGUGAGCCUCCUUCUAAAGGCUGAGGCUUCCCUUGGGUUUUCGAGGACAAAGGAAGAAGCAGCUACAGGCUGUCACAAAGUGAGUCUGACGUCUCGGCAUCUCAGCCUAGCAGCUACUAGUCAAGUUUCUUGGACCUCUCUCUUUGCGUCUGAUUUUUAAUAUUGUUUUGUCCUGAGACUAAAUGCAUUUGGUCAUAGAAGAAUCAUUUAUUCCACCUUUCCUUGCAUCAGAGCGGAUGAUGGGGACACUGGGAGUGACAGAAUAAAUGAAAUUCUCCUGGCCA
RNAcentral lists this long non-coding RNA (2174 nucleotides) under Vombatus ursinus (common wombat). RNAcentral describes it as "lncRNA (ENSVURG00010005281.1)". The record is from RNAcentral. Lineage: Eukaryota; Metazoa; Chordata; Mammalia; Diprotodontia; Vombatidae.